CUUGCCCGGUCAGGAGAGAGUUUUCCCCGAGAAAACCGCCGAAGGCGCAUGUGCCACCCCCAAUGGUGGACUGAACGCUCAGGCAAAAGGACUGGCAACCGUCC
This 104-nucleotide non-coding RNA is filed under the name Polaromonas naphthalenivorans. RNAcentral's name for it is "Glycine sequence". It matches the Rfam family "Glycine riboswitch aptamer". From Rfam's summary of the family: This family represents the bacterial glycine riboswitch. Glycine riboswitches usually consist of two metabolite-binding aptamers domains with similar structures in tandem. The record is from RNAcentral. Lineage: Bacteria; Pseudomonadati; Pseudomonadota; Betaproteobacteria; Burkholderiales; Comamonadaceae. RNAcentral also lists the same sequence under 1 other name.